GCAUAACGCGAAGAACCUUACCUGGCCUUGACAUGUCCGGAAUCCUGCAGAGAUGCGGGAGUGCUCGAAAGAGAGCCGUAACACAGGUGCUGCAUGGCUGUCGUCAGCUCGUGUCGUGAGAUGUUGGGUUAAGUCCCGCAACGAGCGCAACCCUUGCCAUUAGUUGCUACAUUUAGUUGAGCACUCUAAUGGGACUGCCGGUGACAAACCGGAGGAAGGUGGGGAUGACGUCAAGUCCUCAUGGCCCUUAUAGGUGGGGCUACACACGUCAUACAAUGGCUGGUACAAAGGGUUGCCAACCCGCGAGGGGGAGCUAAUCCCAUAAAGCCAGUCGUAGUCCGGAUCGCAGUCUGCAACUCGACUGCGUGAAGUCGGAAUCGCUAGUAAUCGUGGAUCAGAAUGUCACGGUGAAUACGUUCCCGGGUCUUGUACACACCG
RNAcentral lists this ribosomal RNA (438 nucleotides) under uncultured bacterium. RNAcentral's name for it is "bacterial SSU rRNA". It matches the Rfam family "Bacterial small subunit ribosomal RNA", at positions 954 to 1392 of the family's 1533-position model. The record is from RNAcentral.